UUUCACAUGCACAAAAUGAUUGUUUUUGAUUUGUAAAAAAAUUCUAACGUAUAUUUUAUGGAAAAUAGCUUUUGUAUGUUUCUGGAAGAUGCACCAUGUUACCUUGUUGACAACAUGACCGAGCAGCGCAGAUUACUGUGCGAUUGGAGAAAGGRCGCUCMUCCCUCACCGCUUUUUGCCCGYUCWAGUCACAGGCCAYAGACUGGUGCACUUAAUCAAACUCCCUCAAUGGUGGGAACUUCCCCACGCCCAAUGUUUACACCAAUCCCAAGGCUUUUGGAUCCGUGACGGGAAGUGUUUAAGUGUACACUUCGGGAGCAGGGUGUGGACAGUCAGGAGGCAACCUAGCUGUCAUCCGUCGGUCAAAGACAGGGAGUUUAGUAUUAUAUCAAUGAUUAAUCUACUUACGAAACGGAGAAGAACAAAACAGAACAAACAUGGCUCUCUAUGUGGGUUAGAACUUGUUCAACCUUUCCUAGUGUGCCGGUCGUCCCGUUGAGGGAAUUUUAAUAAGCUGCCUGUAACUUUUACCUGACAUUUCCUAGAAGAAAGCAUUAAAACAAGUGAGAUUGCUUUCUGUUCCCUUGGUAACCACGGUUUAGAGCUUAUUUUGACCAAUAGUUUUACCUUUUAACUACAAUGUUCUUUCAUAGGUACUCUCAUUAAGUGUAUGAGGCCACUAAAAUAAUAUUUGGAUGACUUUUGGAGGCAUAUUCAUUCAUGUUUAUUAUUAACAUGAAGUUCGCAAUAAUGUAAAAAAAAAAAAAAAAAACACUUUUCACUUUGUCAUAACAACAAGAAACAAUGCUUCGAAUUUUAUAAUGAGCCAGAGAAAGCUUUUUCAUAAACCACUACUUCAGUGGUUCUCAAACUUGGGGUUGGGACCCUGUGUGGGGUCCCCUGAGAAAAUCUGUAAUCGUAGGAAAAACUUUUGGGGACCCCUGCCCUACUUGUACAAUUCUCACAUUAGUCUUCGGGUCUUUCUGUUGRCGUUGCUUUCACUUCAUAUCACAAUGUUUUUUUGUUUUCAGUUAUUGUUUGUAUGAUUUGUCAAGCAUUCAGUUYUGCCAUUGUUUGCUAAUUCUGUUUUAAUUUAGUGUUUCCUUUCUGUUGAAUUCUCUUGCUGUUUACUUCACUUUUUUCCUUUUGCACACACUUGUCUUUUUCCCCUUUCUGUACUUUCCUACGUUCUGUCUCCAUCGCUCCCUAUUCCUGUUUCCCUCCCUCUUUCUUCCACUAUCUCUCGUUUUCUCUGUCCUGCUCUUGUUUGUCCUCUAUCUCCCAUUCCCUUGCUCUUCCUAUCCUCUCUUACCUUCCCUGCUCCAUCGCCGUGGUAGCCAACGAGGCCUAGUUGCCAGGGGAAACCUCUACAGUCGCUACAUCAACACCCGGGGCUUUGGGCUGUUGUUGGAGACCCAGCAGAAUACCUUCAAACUGCCAGGUUUGACACCAGUAUUGAGAGAGAGAGAGACUGAUACAGGGGGACAGACAGACCCACUGGGACACACAGACAGGCCCCUUCCACCUCUGUCCCUAUCCAGGAAGGAGUCGCUCUGCUCCCAGACCACCAUGAUGACCACCAGAGAACCAGACAGACAGGCUGAGAUGGAGACCAGGGUGCUGGAGAAGGGGCUCCGUAUGGGGGUAGGGGGAGAGCCCUGGCCUGGGAGGGCUGGAGAGAAAGGAGGUGGGCCCCUGGAGGUGGUUGAGAAGGACAGGGGGAGAGGAGGGGGGGAGAGAGCUGCUGUAACAGCUCAGUGGGUCAGGCAGAAGAAGGAAUAUAGGAACACCAGACCCUGGUGACACACAUGGAACACAGACGGACUGACAAGAAGCAGGAGAUAGAAGACGGGCUGACUGAUAGACAGAUGAAUAAGAAGCAGGAGAUGGAAGACUGACUGACAGACUGACGGAUAGAUACGAAGCAGGAGAUAGAAGACGGGCUGACAGACUGACAGAUAGAUAAGAGGCAGGAGAUAGAAGACGGGCUGACAGACUGACAGAUAGAUAAGAGGCAGGAGAUAGAAGACGGGCUGACUGAUAGACAGAUGAACAAGAAGCAGGAGAUAGAAGACUGACUGACUGAUAGACAGAUGAAUAAGAAGCAGGAGAUAGAAGACUGACUGACUGGCAGACGGAUGGAUAAGAGGCAGGAAGUAGAGAAGAGAAAGAGACUGACUGACUGAUUUAAUAGAGAUUUACAGAAGUGGACUGUGAGCUAGAGUAGAGAUAGAAGGGAAGACAGCCACAGAUGGAUACGGACGAUGAGAAUAGAGAGAGAGAGAAGGGAAGACAGCCGCAGAUGGAUACGGACGAUGAGAGUAGAGAGAGGGAAAGGAAGACAGCCGCAGAUGGAUACGGAUGAUGAGAGUAGAGAGAUAGAAGGGAAGACAGCCACAGAUGGAUACGGACAUGAGAGUAG
Molecule: non-coding RNA, 2422 nt
Organism: Salvelinus sp. IW2-2015
Lineage: Eukaryota; Metazoa; Chordata; Actinopteri; Salmoniformes; Salmonidae
Source: RefSeq, a predicted model, not a curated record